UACGGGGGGGGCAAGCGUUGUUCGGAAUUACUGGGCGUAAAGGGCUCGUAGGCGGCCAACUAAGUCAGACGUGAAAUCCCCAGGCUCAACCUGGGAACUGCGUCUGAUACUGGAUGGCUUGAAUUCGGGAGAGGGAUGCAGAAUUCCAGGUGUAGCGGUGAAAUGCGUAGAUAUCUGGAGGAAUACCGGUGGCGAAGGCGGCAUCCUGGACCGACAUUGACGCUGAUGAGCGAAAGCUAGGGGAGCAAACGGGAUGAGAUACCCCUGUAGUCC
Molecule: ribosomal RNA, 273 nt
Filed under: uncultured bacterium
Lineage: Bacteria
Description: partial 16S ribosomal RNA
Rfam family: Bacterial small subunit ribosomal RNA
Source: RNAcentral